GUCCCAGUUGAGCAAUGAAUAGCGCGUUGGACUUUUAAUCCAAAGGUCGUGGGCUCGAAUCCCUCCUGGGAUG
Trichonephila clavipes is the source of this 73-nucleotide non-coding RNA. The record is from the annotation of a GenBank genome assembly. Lineage: Eukaryota; Metazoa; Arthropoda; Arachnida; Araneae; Nephilidae.